GAGUUUGAUCCUGGUUCAGGACGAACGCUGGCGGCGUGCCUAACACAUGCAAGUCGAACGGUUUCAAUGUUCGAACUUCGAAUUUCGAGCUUCGAACAUCGAGAUAGUGGCGGACGGGUGAGUAACGCGUGGGUAACCUACCCAACAGACCGGGACAACACUUGGAAACGAGUGCUAAUACCGGAUAACCUAAGACACUGGCAUCAGAGACUUAGGAAAGGUGGCCUCUAUAUAAAAGCUACCGUUGUAGGAUGGACCCGCGUCUGAUUAGCUAGUUGGUGGGGUAACGGCCUACCAAGGCGACGAUCAGUAGCCGGCCUGAGAGGGUGAACGGCCACACUGGGACUGAGACACGGCCCAGACUCCUACGGGAGGCAGCAGUGGGGAAUCUUCCGCAAUGGACGAAAGUCUGACGGAGCAACGCCGCGUGUAUGAUGAAGGCCUUCGGGUUGUAAAGUACUGUCUUUGGGGACGAAUGGUCACUAUGAAAAUAUUGUAGUGACAUGACGGUACCCAAGAAGGAAGCCCCGGCUAACUACGUGCCAGCAGCCGCGGUAAUACGUAGGGGGCAAGCGUUGUCCGGAAUCAUUGGGCGUAAAGGGCGCGUAGGCGGAUAGUUAAGUCCGAUGUGAAAUACCAGGGCUCACCCCUGGGGCUGCAUCGGAAACUGGUUAUCUUGAGG
Molecule: ribosomal RNA, 682 nt
Filed under: uncultured Peptococcaceae bacterium
Lineage: Bacteria; Bacillati; Bacillota; Clostridia; Eubacteriales; Peptococcaceae
Description: bacterial SSU rRNA
Rfam family: Bacterial small subunit ribosomal RNA
Source: RNAcentral